RNAcentral lists this unclassified non-coding RNA (356 nucleotides) under Hevea brasiliensis (rubber tree). Lineage: Eukaryota; Viridiplantae; Streptophyta; Magnoliopsida; Malpighiales; Euphorbiaceae. The record is from RNAcentral.
GGCCGAGACGCGCAAAGUCGUCGAAGGCGUUUUGCCGAACCUCGGCAACCGGCCCCGAUCCGGGCAACCGGCCCCGCGCCGCGGCGAACAGCUCGCCGAGCGCAUGGUCCGUCGUGGGCUUAACCAAUGCAACGUUCAUGAUUGGACCCGCUUACGCUGCCUUGUCUUCGAACUGGGCGUAACCGGACUUUUCCAGCUCCAGCGCCAGUUCCUUGCCGCCGCUCUUGACCACGCGGCCCUUCGACAUGACGUGGACGAAAUCCGGCACGAUGUAGUUCAGCAGCCGCUGAUAGUGGGUGAUGACGACCAUCGCACGGUCCUUCGAGCGCAGCGCGUUGACGCCGUCAGCGGCGACA